Molecule: long non-coding RNA, 719 nt
Organism: Spea bombifrons (plains spadefoot toad)
Lineage: Eukaryota; Metazoa; Chordata; Amphibia; Anura; Pelobatidae
Exons: 2
Source: RefSeq, a predicted model, not a curated record
UGUGUCUCUAUGAUUUUGCAGGGUAUGGACCUAUCAUCAUUAUGGAAUCUACUCAGUGGGUUUGUAAAGCUACUGUUACAGUGAUCUAUCAGUGUACAAAAUGGUCUCAACUAUACUUUUUCCAAAGCCAUAACUGAGGCUAUUGGCACUUGGAAUGGAGGUCCCAAUCCACAGCAUCACAUCUGCUUCCAGAAGCUGAAGGUCACAGGAGAAUUGCUGUUGGAUGACUCAAGAGCACCUCUUAUCUUGGAGUGCCCAGGGCGGUUGCCCUUCCCACCCCAUGGAAGUUAUGGCUCUGUCUCUCAAUGGCAAUUUAUGUGGUCACCCAUGGCUAGAAAGACUAGAUUUCCCAUAAAGCAGACAAUGCAUUUAUAUACAGUGUUUAGUGCGCAGUUCAACAAUCAUUACAUCCACCCCACGUAUUUGCUUGUUUUUAGCUAUUCUUGAUGGUUUGUCGAUGAUGUAUUCGUAAAAAAACAAGUUCUUUGUAUUGUGCGAAAGAAGGGAGAAUGUCAAUAUUCUUUUGUUCAUUUAGCAGUCUGAGAUAUGAAUUUAGGUGUAACAAUGGAGCAUAUAUAAGGUAUUGUGACCUGACAGAAUGACCAAUUAGCAAGGAACUUGCCUCCUGGAUGAACUAUGGAAUGCUACCACCUCUUAUGCUGCCAAAAUCUUACAUCAAUACCUCUGCAUAAACAGAAUAUAUCUCAAUAUUUUUCAUA